RNAcentral lists this ribosomal RNA (856 nucleotides) under Salmonella enterica subsp. enterica serovar Hvittingfoss. RNAcentral describes it as "partial 23S ribosomal RNA". It matches the Rfam family "Bacterial large subunit ribosomal RNA", at positions 1 to 888 of the family's 2925-position model. Lineage: Bacteria; Pseudomonadati; Pseudomonadota; Gammaproteobacteria; Enterobacterales; Enterobacteriaceae. The record is from RNAcentral.
GGGUUGUGAGGUUAAGCGACUAAGCGUACACGGUGGAUGCCCUGGCAGUCAGAGGCGAUGAAGGACGUGCUAAUCUGCGAUAAGCGCCGGUAAGGUGAUAUGAACCGUUAUAACCGGCGAUUUCCGAAUGGGGAAACCCAGUGUGAUUCGUCACACUAUCAUUAACUGAAUCCAUAGGUUAAUGAGGCGAACCGGGGGAACUGAAACAUCUAAGUACCCCGAGGAAAAGAAAUCAACCGAGAUUCCCCCAGUAGCGGCGAGCGAACGGGGAGGAGCCCAGAGCCUGAAUCAGCAUGUGUGUUAGUGGAAGCGUCUGGAAAGGCGCGCGAUACAGGGUGACAGCCCCGUACACAAAAGCGCAUAUGCUGUGAGCUCGAUGAGUAGGGCGGGACACGUGGUAUCCUGUCUGAAUAUGGGGGGACCAUCCUCCAAGGCUAAAUACUCCUGACUGACCGAUAGUGAACCAGUACCGUGAGGGAAAGGCGAAAAGAACCCCGGCGAGGGGAGUGAAAAAGAACCUGAAACCGUGUACGUACAAGCAGUGGGAGCACAGGUUUACCUGUGUGACUGCGUACCUUUUGUAUAAUGGGUCAGCGACUUAUAUUCUGUAGCAAGGUUAACCGUAUAGGGGAGCCGUAGGGAAACCGAGUCUUAAUUGGGCGUUAAGUUGCAGGGUAUAGACCCGAAACCCGGUGAUCUAGCCAUGGGCAGGUUGAAGGUUGGGUAACACUAACUGGAGGACCGAACCGACUAAUGUUGAAAAAUUAGCGGAUGACCUGUGGCUGGGGGUGAAAGGCCAAUCAAACCGGGAGAUAGCUGGUUCUCCCCGAAAGCUAUUUAGGUAGCGCCUCGUGAA